GACGAACGCUGGCGGCGUGCUUAACACAUGCAAGUCGAACGAAGAGCGAUGGAAGCUUGCUUCUAUCAAUCUUAGUGGCGAACGGGUGAGUAACGCGUAAUCAACCUGCCCUUCAGAGGGGGACAACAGUUGGAAACGACUGCUAAUACCGCAUACGAUCCAAUCUCGGCAUCGGGACUGGAUGAAAGGUGGCCUCUAUUUAUAAGCUAUCACUGAAGGAGGGGAUUGCGUCUGAUUAGCUAGUUGGAGGGGUAACGGCCCACCAAGGCGAUGAUCAGUAGCCGGUCUGAGAGGAUGAACGGCCACAUUGGGACUGAGACACGGCCCAGACUCCUACGGGAGGCAGCAGUGGGGAAUCUUCCGCAAUGGACGAAAGUCUGACGGAGCAACGCCGCGUGAGUGAUGACGGCCGUCGGGUUGUAAAGCUCUGUUAAUCGGGACGAAUGGUUCUUGUGCGAAUAGUGCGAGGAUUUGACGGUACCGGAAGAGAAAGCCACGGCUAACUACGUG
RNAcentral lists this ribosomal RNA (510 nucleotides) under uncultured bacterium. Its description in RNAcentral is "partial 16S ribosomal RNA". It matches the Rfam family "Bacterial small subunit ribosomal RNA", at positions 28 to 507 of the family's 1533-position model. The record is from RNAcentral.